UACGUAGGGGGCAAGCGUUGUCCGGAUUUAUUGGGCGUAAAGAGCGUGUAGGCGGCCAGGUAGGUCCGUUGUGAAAACUCGAGGCUCAACCUCGAGACGUCGAUGGAAACCAUCUGGCUAGAGUCCGGAAGAGGAGAGUGGAAUUCCUGGUGUAGCGGUGAAAUGCGCAGAUAUCAGGAAGAACACCCGUGGCGAAGGCGACUCGCUGGACUGAUACUGACGCUGAGGUGCGAAAGCGUGGGGAGCAAACAGG
Molecule: ribosomal RNA, 253 nt
Filed under: uncultured bacterium
Lineage: Bacteria
Description: partial 16S ribosomal RNA
Rfam family: Bacterial small subunit ribosomal RNA
Source: RNAcentral